RNAcentral lists this non-coding RNA (29 nucleotides) under Rattus norvegicus (Norway rat). The record is from RNAcentral. Lineage: Eukaryota; Metazoa; Chordata; Mammalia; Rodentia; Muridae.
UGGCUCUUAAGAUCUGGAACACCCCCCCC